Molecule: transfer RNA, 77 nt
Filed under: Amycolatopsis tolypomycina
Lineage: Bacteria; Bacillati; Actinomycetota; Actinomycetes; Pseudonocardiales; Pseudonocardiaceae
Also listed under: 1 other name
Description: tRNA_Pro_TGG
Rfam family: tRNA
About the family: Transfer RNA (tRNA) molecules are approximately 80 nucleotides in length. Their secondary structure includes four short double-helical elements and three loops (D, anti-codon, and T loops).
Source: RNAcentral
CGGGAUGUGGCGCAGCUUGGUAGCGCAUCCGCUUUGGGAGCGGAGGGUCGCAGGUUCAAAUCCUGUCAUCCCGACCC